This 692-nucleotide unclassified non-coding RNA is filed under the name Hevea brasiliensis (rubber tree). The record is from RNAcentral. Lineage: Eukaryota; Viridiplantae; Streptophyta; Magnoliopsida; Malpighiales; Euphorbiaceae.
GCCCAAUUUUAUUAACAUACGUUUACAUUCUAAGAUAAAGUAGAGAACCCACACAUCUACACUACCACAACACAGAAACAUUUUAUCAAACACAUGGUGAGCCAUCCAACCUGGAAGUACAGUACACACACAAUCACAAGAAGAUUCUCAUCCUAAGCAGAACAUUCAAUUUUAGAUUCUUACUUGUGUAUGGCGAACUCUACCCCCCAGUGAUCUCCACCACUCGGACAUCGCGUCUGCUCCGGUCAUCAUCUUCUUUAGGAACAAACACUGUAAGAAUCCCAAAAUCCAUAAACGCACUCAACUCCUCGAUUCUCCCAGUCUCCGGAAUCUUGAAUCUGCUAACGAAGCCGCCGCUCUCGGUGCUGAUCUGAAGCAUCCGGUCAUCCUGAAGCUCGACGAGAACGUCUUCACCGCCGAAGCCGGGAAGGGAGGCUCUGAGGACAUGAACGUUGGGUGUCUCAGUCCAGUCGAGGCGAGUGUUGACGGUGCCUCCCCAAGAGAAGGGGUCGGAGAUUGAGGAAGGGAAAGGGAAAUCGUGCCAUAGGUCGAGAGGGAAGGGGAAAUUUGGGAAGCGAUUGAGGAUGUUUGAAGGGGAAGUGUUGGAAAUACGGCCGUCUUGGCCGCCGAUUGGAAUGAUGGACAUCGUGGGUGAAGAUCUGAAAGCUGCGGCGAAAUUGCGAGUGAAAUUG